AUUUUGGACAAUGGGGGAAACCCUGAUCCAGCCAUCCCGCGUGUGCGAUGAAGGCCUUCGGGUUGUAAAGCACUUUUGGCAGGGAAGAAACGGCGCUGAAUAAUACUUGGCGUCACUGACGGUACCUGCAGAAUAAGCACCGGCUAACUACGUGCCAGCAGCCGCGGUAAUACGUAGGGUGCAAGCGUUAAUCGGAAUUACUGGGCGUAAAGCGUGCGUAGGCGGUUCGGAAAGAAAGGUGUGAAAUCCCAGAGCUUAACUUUGGAACUGCACUUUUAACUACCGGGCUAGAGUAUGUCAGAGGGGGGUAGAAUUCCACGUGUAGCAGUGAAAUGCGUAGAGAUGUGGAGGAAUACCGAUGGCGAAGGCAGCCCCCUGGGAUAAUACUGACGCUCAGGCACGAAAGCGUGGGGAGCAAACAGG
This 423-nucleotide ribosomal RNA is filed under the name uncultured bacterium. RNAcentral's name for it is "bacterial SSU rRNA". It matches the Rfam family "Bacterial small subunit ribosomal RNA", at positions 361 to 776 of the family's 1533-position model. The record is from RNAcentral.